GUUUAAAUAGCGCCAUCGAUCGCACUCGAGUCAGAUAUCCAUUCCGUUUUUUUUCUCUCCGUAAUGUGAAAACGAUGGAAGCGUGUUUUUGUCCUGCGUGAUGUCAUGUGAUGUCAUGUCAUGUGAUGUGAUGUCAUGUGAUGUGAUGUCAUGUCAUGUGAUGUCAUGUGAUGUGAUGUCAUGUCAUGUGAUGUGAUGUCAUGUGAUGUCAUGUGAUGUGAUGUCAUGUGAUGUGAUGUCAUGUGAUGUGAUGUGAUGUGAUGUGAUGUCAUGUGAUGUGAUGUGAUGUGAUUUAUCUUGGCCUGAUGGAGGAAAUAAACAUGCAUCCAGUUACAGAUUUAUCCAGAUUUUUAUUCCCGGUGUCUGAUAAUCCGACCGGAAUAGCGAACGUUCAUUUCACGUGAACACGUGACGGAAAGAAUUUAAAUCUGUGCAGUACAGACGGAAUGAUUUGAGAAGCUGAGUGAGCUGACUGGACUCGUUUCUCGACCAAACCUCGCCCCACGCACGCGCGUAACCUCGGAUACGGUGAUGCGGAGCGGUCCGUACAGGGUCUCUCCGGGGUUUGUUUUUGUAAUCGUCGUGGCCAAAAAAACGCUCUAUUUAUUUAUUUAUUUAUUUAUUUAUUUAUUUAUUUAUUUAUUUUCAAAAUCCACGAUGCAGCUUGCAGUUUUUUUUGUUUUUUUUUAACGCGAUCCGGUGAAAUCGCAAGAAAUUCUUUCGCAGUGAUGUUUGCUGGUAAACGAGAGCUUUUAGACGCGCGUGAAUGGGAGAGGGAUUUGGCUGAAUGCACGUUAGGAUGUCACGUGACACGUCUUGGGCCAAAUCUGUUGAGUUUCCUUGAUUUUGAGUUGAUUUCUGCGCUCGGGGAAUCCCGGACGAACCGUAUGUGGAACCUUGAGGGGAAAAUUGUUCGUUCCUUUUUCACGUCUUUAAAAGCCUCGGCCUCGGCGUCCCUGUCGGUUGAUUCGGGGUUGCAGCGCAGCUGCUGAAAUUCCUGCCGCUGUUCGCACCGUGGACGUGGAGCGCGUGUUUGCAGGAGCCGAGCGACCGACGGUGUUUACGGCGCGAGAAGAAAUUCAGGGAUUUGUGGAACGGGAGCCGAGUCUGCUGCCGCGUUAUCGUCUCGGCCCCGUGUUCGGUACUUUUGGUACGGUACCGUAUGCGGGAUGCGUUCGUUUCUUUAUAUCAGAUUAUGUAAACGUCUUCUGUAGCAGGUGCAGUCGGUGAGAUGUUUACACGUUUAAAGGUGCAGUAUGCGUGUACACAAGGCUCCGCCCACAGAAUUACGGCACUUCAGCUAGCGUUAUUGUUAGCCGGACUGUCGUGACAUCACUUACGACCGCCAAGCCUUCGCCGUCCCGUUUUUCUUUGUAAUGGUUGGUUAUCAGGCUGCGCUGGGCGUUGGCUGAUUUCAGACUGAGGUGUGGGCGGAGUGUGUGGGUGUUUGGGGAGUGUCUAAAAUGGCUGACGAGGUCCAUGUUAACAAAAACAAACGGCUCAGGCUGAGGUUGUGGCUCGUUAAAAAAAAAAAAAAAAAUUUAAAAAUCAUGAUCUAAGUAUUUAUUUCUGCGUUGUACUAAAAGUAAAAACAAAAGUCUGUGAGAGUCAUGAUUCGAUUCUGGUGCGAGUGUUUUCCACAGCAGAUUCGCCUCUGACGCGAUCUGAACAGACUCGAGUGCCGUAGCACAGCGAUUAAAGUGGUUUUGGGGUAAAAACGCGAGCUGAAGGUUGUCGAAAGUGACGUUAAUCUUCAACAAAGCUAUCAGACUGGAUAUCAGGCACGACAACUGCAGCACCACGUCGUCCGCCAUCUUGUUUGAGUUGAGUCGAGUCACAUGACCACAGAUACAUCAUUAUGAAUGGAAUGGGUCUGUUUUCCCGGUCCGCGAAAGCCGCGUUUUCAAAAGACGUAGCGGGAGAAGGUGUUCUGAGAUGGAUCCGGGUUAAUGUGGACAUGGCGUCAUUAUUAAAGAGGAGCGAUUUGAUCCAGAGGAUUGAUUGGUUUCUUGUCCAGAUCGCGGUUGUUUCCUGUC
Ictalurus punctatus (channel catfish) is the source of this 2036-nucleotide long non-coding RNA. NCBI's taxonomy places the organism in Eukaryota, Metazoa, Chordata, Actinopteri, Siluriformes, Ictaluridae. The record is from Ensembl.